This is a long non-coding RNA of Oreochromis aureus, 447 nucleotides long. RefSeq lists it as uncharacterized. The transcript has 4 exons. The record is from RefSeq and is a predicted model, not a curated record. NCBI's taxonomy places the organism in Eukaryota, Metazoa, Chordata, Actinopteri, Cichliformes, Cichlidae.
CAUGUAUUAACGCUUGCGACUGGCAGAAAGAACACACAUGAUUUUUAUGAAAACAGGACUACGGCAAAUGGUCAGAGGAGCGGUGCAGUCAGUGGAGCCAAAUGGAGAGGAGUACUCAGACUGAGACCAAAAAAGCUCUGUGGCAGACUGGCAGCCUGUCCAGGGUGUACCCAGCCCUUCACCUUACGACAGCAGGGACAGGCUUCAGCUCCCCCACAACCCUGAAUUGGAUAAGAUGAAGAAAAUGGAUAGAUGGAUUUAAAUGCCACAAAAGGGCAACUCAUGUGGCUGAAAAAAAGAAGCUUGCUCUCAUUUAUAGAACCCACCUCCUCUCCGCUUCACCCUUGUCACUCAGAGCUCCAUCCAGGUCGCUUUCUUCAUCUUCACCACCACUAGCUCCUAUACUCUGAGGGUGUUGUUCUUAUUCCUUUCAACACUGGGAUUCUG